Salvia miltiorrhiza (redroot sage) is the source of this 379-nucleotide long non-coding RNA. RefSeq lists it as uncharacterized. The record is from RefSeq and is a predicted model, not a curated record. The transcript has 2 exons. NCBI's taxonomy places the organism in Eukaryota, Viridiplantae, Streptophyta, Magnoliopsida, Lamiales, Lamiaceae.
UUCUUGUAGGCUUUGUGACCAGGGGGAUUAGCGCUGCUUUCCCAAGACAGGUUUAUAUGUGAUUAUGAUCUUCAGGCUUUGCCUAAUCAGGUUGGCUGGCCGGUGCUGACGGGACGGAGCUGAGGCUAGAGUUAAAUUCCUAUGUUAGACUUCCGCUGUAGCAAUUACUCAUUUCAGUCUUUUGUUUUUCCAACUUAAGAUCUUCAUGUUAAAUUUCAAAUGAUAUAUUUGACCGAGCUUAGACUCUUCAUUACUAAAUUUAUGCCAAUGAAUGUCGGUUGUCAGAAGCAUGAAACAAAACUUGUGAUCCAAAGGGGCAUAGCCCGACUCUCUAUCUUAUUAUUCGGGUUUAAACAAGGUUGUUCCUUGUUUAUUUCUA